RNAcentral lists this unclassified non-coding RNA (385 nucleotides) under Hevea brasiliensis (rubber tree). Lineage: Eukaryota; Viridiplantae; Streptophyta; Magnoliopsida; Malpighiales; Euphorbiaceae. The record is from RNAcentral.
GCUUAAAUUUUAACAAAAUUCCGUUUUCUAUAUCCUUCCUGUUAAUUUCUUCGCAGAUUACUGUUUGCAGCAAAAUCAUCAACUGGUCUGCUGGAGUUUUGGCGCAGGAAUAAUGGCAACUCUGGCUGAUUCUUUCCUGGCAGAUCUGGACGAGUUGUCCGAUAAUGAAGCUGAUGUUAUUGAUGAGGAGAAUCUUGAUGUUGAUCAGAUGGAGGAAGAUGGAGACUUAGCAGACAUUGAAGCACUUAAUUAUGAUGAUCUAGACAAUGUCUCCAAGCUGCAAAAAUCACGUCGCUAUGUUGAAAUAAUGCAGAAAGUCGAAGAUGCACUUGAGAAGGAGUCUGAUGUCACGAAUAAAGGUGUUGUUCUUGAAGAUGAACCUGAG